Megalobrama amblycephala (Wuchang bream) is the source of this 2468-nucleotide long non-coding RNA. RefSeq lists it as uncharacterized. Lineage: Eukaryota; Metazoa; Chordata; Actinopteri; Cypriniformes; Xenocyprididae. The record is from RefSeq and is a predicted model, not a curated record. The transcript is spliced from 3 exons.
GGCAAUGUUCUGCUGGGAAACCUUGGGUCCUGCCAUCAGCAUAUUAUACCAUGUCUACAAAGGAUACAACAUCUUGAGGCUGUCUAUACUGGAUGCAACAAAGCGACCAUUGCAAAUCCAUUUGUUCUUUGUGUCAGAAGCAGCGCAAGCACAUGUAGUACUUCAGAAAUAGAAUGGGGCAUCAGUUUACUGAUGGGGAAUUUUUCACACUGCAUCCAGUGUAGACAGCAUCACUGAUUAUAAUGGUUUUUAUUUGCUUUUGUCACGUCACUUGCAUCUGGUGUGGUGUUAGAAUGAUUUCUGAAAGUUCAUGUGACACUGAAGACUGGAGUAAUGAUGCUGAAAAUUCAGCUUUGCAUCACAGAAAUAAAUUCCAUUUUAAAAUGCAUACAAAUACAAAAACAGUUAUUUUAAAUCAUUAUUAAAAUUUUCAGUAUUACUGUUUUUACUGUAUUCUUGAUCAAGUAAAUGCAGCCUUUUGAACAGUAGCGUAAAAUCAUAUAAUGAGACCAUUUAAUAACUCGGCGUCAACAGACCUUAGUCAGGUAAGACGACGUAUUGAAUUUAACGCGAAUGAAAACAAGCCUGUGAGGGAUAGACUUAGUCUUUACAAUGGCAUGCACAAAAAAAGGUCCUAGAUAAUGUCAUUUUCACAACUUUUAAAACUCUGUUUUUUUUCUACUGAAAGUCUAAAUAGUGAAAUGCAACGAUUUGUUUCAGAUGAUCAGCUGAAGUGUACUGUAGUCGAGUAAGUGGAAAGCGGCCUCCUUAGUGCAGGUGUGCAUCUUUCCAUUCACAUUCCAGAGGCCCUCCAUCACAAAUGAAGGAUGAUGCCUGGAUCUCUGUUUAUUUACUAGCUUCGAAACCAGAUCUGGCCAAUUUAAGGGUUCGCUCCCUCCCUCCCUCUCUCUCUCUGUCUCUCUCUCCUCCAUUGAUACAUGGUUAAUGGUUGUCAGAUGUGGCAGUGUUAGUGGGGCUCGAGAUGUAUUUGUUUGCUCUGGCUGAUUUCCUCAGACUAAACUGGUAUCUGUCCUCGCCAGUUGGUUUAUAUCAAAACACGGGUGACUGUAGCGGCUCCACCUGGUAAAACAAGAUGGGAUCUGGACUGACAGGAGUGUAACAUCUUUCUAAACGUACGAGCAGUUUACUGAGCGAAGCCAUCUGACCUGCGCAUGUUAUUUUAGUGCUAAAUCCUGCUGCGUGGACGGGAGAUAAGGAACGUGUGAAAAUAACAUUUCUGUGUUUGUCUGCAAGAGCAGGCCAGACUGAAUUAUGAGGCAUGGACACCACAUGGCACAUGCUAUAUUUAGUUUAGCGGGUUGUUGCAGGAGAAGGAACAUAUUGCUUGAUUUGAAGUAAAACACUUUUCUGAUUAAACCGUUUGGUCUGAGAGGUCCAGUUUCCAAACACUGUUGGGCAUUAGAUCAAAAAAGUCUAAAAAGUGCUGGGUUUACAUCUUCUGAAGCUGUUUAAGGUGUCUUAGUUAUGGUGUGCUGUCUGUUGCAAACCGCAAGUUUUUUUUUGCCGUCAUGAAGUGUUUAUGCGCUGGUUAUCGCCUGUCUGCUUGAAUUAGCCAUUUUCUGUGUGCUCCACAUGCUAGGUUCUAAUGAGUUCAUCGAAAACAUAUCUGUUUUGGGAUGCAAUGUAGUUUGUUUCCCUAUCACUGAUUCACAGGUGUGUCACGUCCCCUCCACGGCUGUGUGGAACAGCCCACUUUGAGUUCACUCCUGCUGGCCUAGAGAGGCACUGCGGCCUCGUUUUCCUCCACAGUUACAGAUCAGAAAGAAAUGAAGAUGUGCCAAUCUGUUUGGAUUUCCUCAUUCACCACAGUCAUCUCAUUCAUUCCUGACUGAUCCAGGUUGCAUUGCCAAGUGAGGGACGGAGAUUGAGAGCCUCAUUUAUACAAACACACAUACAGAACGGCCAUUUAAAGGUAACCUAUUUCAGAAUGUUUUUUUCUAUCAUACACUCUUAAAAAUAAAAGUUCAGAAAAGGGUUUUUUAUACAGCGACACCACAGAGGAAGCAUUUUUGGUGAGGAACCUUCCAGUGAAAAGUGGAUUUUCUCAGUGUGAAGAACAUUUUAAUAAUUGAAAGAACCUUUUUCCACUAUAAAGAAUCUUUUGUGGAAUGAAAAGGUUCCAUGGAUGUUAAAGGUUCUUCAUCAACCAUCAAUGCCAAUAAAGAACCUUUAUUUUUAGGAGUGUAUGUUGUUCCCUUGAAUAAGAUAUGGUGUGAUAACAUGGUACAGUGAAAGUACUACUAUGAUACUAAAUGAUGUACUGUGGUAUUUGGGUAGAUUUUCGAGAAGUUGACAUGUCUUGCAGUGGAACAUGCAAGACUCCUUUCAAAGCCAUUUUAAACAGCAUUAUGCUAAUUAUUUUAUAAUUAUUAUUCAUGCAACUUUAUAACCUCAUAUUAAUCAAGAAACUACAUGGAAUAUUUGUACUUUUUACAAAUCCAUUCAUC